This 1397-nucleotide ribosomal RNA is filed under the name Atrophaneura dixoni. RNAcentral's name for it is "16S ribosomal RNA". Lineage: Eukaryota; Metazoa; Arthropoda; Insecta; Lepidoptera; Papilionidae. The record is from RNAcentral.
GGGGAAAAAUUAAUAAUAAAUUUAAAUAAAAAAAAUUUUUUUAAUAAAAAUAUUUGAAAGGGGUUAAAGUAUUUUUUAAGAAAAAAUUAAAAAAUUUAUAUUAAAAUAGUAUUGUAAAAGAAUUUUGAAAUACAUGAAAAUUAAAUUGGGGGGAAGUAGAUUUAAUUUAUUGUAUCUUGUGUAUCAGAGUUUAUUAAAAAUAUAUUUUAAGUAAAAUUUUCUCGAAUUUUAAAGAGUUAAUUAAUUAUAAAAGUUAAUGUAGUAUAAUUAUUUUAAAUAAUUAAUUGGAAAUGAAAUGUUAAUCGUUUUAAAAGAUAUCUAGUUUUUUUAGAAAUAAAUUUAAUUUAAAAUAUUAAUAAUUAAUUUUUUUUUAAAAAAAAAUUAAUUAUUAAUAUUUAAUAUUUUAAGGGAUAAGCUUUAAAAUAAAAUUUUAUAAUAGUUAAUUUUAUUUUUAUUAAAAUUUUAGAAUUUAAAUUGUUAAAAAAUUUUAGUUUUUUAUAAAAAAUUUAAUUUAAAUAAAAAUUUAAAGUUAAAAUUUAAUUUUUUAUAAAAAAAUAAUUUUUAAUAAAUAAAAAUUAGAUAUAAUGAUAAAAUUAGUAUAUAUAUAUAAAUCAUUUAUUUAUUAAUAAAUAUAUAAAUCAUUUAUUUAUUAAUAAAUAAUUAAAAUUAUAAAUAAAUUUUUAUUAAGGAAUUCGGCAAAUAUUUAUAUUCACUUGUUUAUCAAAAACAUGUCUUUUUGAAAAUAAUAUAAAGUCUCGUCUGCCCACUGAUAAUUAUUAAAGGGCUGCAGUAUAUUGACUGUACAAAGGUAGCAUAAUCAUUUGUCUCUUAAUUGGUGACUUGUAUGAAAGAUUGGAUGAAAUAUAAACUGUCUCAAUAAAAUUUGUAAAAUUUAAUUUUUUAGUAAAAAAGCUAAAAUAAAUUUAAAAGACGAGAAGACCCUAUAGAGUUUAAUAAUUUUUUUAAUAAUAAAUAAAUAUAAAUUUUAAAAUUAUAAUUAAUUAAAUUAUUUUGUUGGGGUGACAAAAAAAUUUAAUUAACUUUUUUUAAAAGAUUCACAUUAAUUUAUGAAAAAAUGAUCCAUUAAUAAUGAUUAAAAGAAAAAAUUACCUUAGGGAUAACAGCGUAAUUUUUUUUUUUAGAUCAAAUAAGAAAAAAAGUUUGCGACCUCGAUGUUGGAUUAAGAUAAAAUUUAAAUGCAAAAGUUUAAGGUUUUGAUCUGUUCGAUCAUUAAAAUCUUACAUGAUCUGAGUUCAGACCGGUGUAAGCCAGGUUGGUUUCUAUCUUUAGAAAAAUAAAAUAUUUUAGUACGAAAGGAUCAGAUAUUUAAAAUAGUUUUAUUUAAUUGAAUAUUAGUAAAUGAAAUAAUUUAACUAUUUUGACAGAAAAAAUGUGAU